CCUACGGGUGGCAGCAGUAGGGAAUAUUGCGCAAUGGGGGAAACCCUGAAGCAGCAACGCCGCGUGGAGGAUGACGGCUCUCUGAGUUGUAAACUGCUUUUAUACGAGGGUAAACGCAGAUACGCGUGUCUAUCUGAAAGUGUCGUACGAAUAAGGAUCGGCUAACUCCGUGCCAGCAGCCGCGGUAAUACGGAGGAUUCAAGCGUUAUCCGGAUUUAUGGGGUUUAAAGGGUGCGUAGGGGGUCGGAUAAGUCAGAGGUGAAAUCCCGAGGCUCAACUUCGGAAUUGCCUCUGAUACUGUUCGGCUAGAGAGUAGUGGCGGUAGGCGGAAUGUAUGGUGUAGCGGUGAAAUGCUUAGAGAUUAGACAGAACACCGAUUGCGAAGGCAGCUUACCAAGCUACUUCUGACGUUGAGGCACGAAAGCGUGGGGAGCAAACAGGAUUAGAUACCCUUGUAGUC
RNAcentral lists this ribosomal RNA (460 nucleotides) under uncultured bacterium. RNAcentral's name for it is "partial 16S ribosomal RNA". It matches the Rfam family "Bacterial small subunit ribosomal RNA", at positions 338 to 795 of the family's 1533-position model. The record is from RNAcentral.